AGUGAACGCUGGCGGUAGGCCUAACACAUGCAAGUCGAACGGCAGCACAGUAAGAGCUUGCUCUUACGGGUGGCGAGUGGCGGACGGGUGAGGAAUACAUCGGAAUCUACUUUUUCGUGGGGGAUAACGUAGGGAAACUUACGCUAAUACCGCAUACGACCUACGGGUGAAAGCAGGGGAUCUUCGGACCUUGCGCGAUUGAAUGAGCCGAUGUCGGACUAGCUCGUUGGCGGGGUAAAGGCCCACCAAGGCGACGAUCCGUAGCUGGUCUGAGAGGAUGAUAAGCAAAACUGGAACUGAGACAAGGUCCAGACUCCUACGGGAGGCAGCAGUGGGGAAUAUUGGACAAUGGGAGCAAGCCUGAUCCAGCCAUACCGCGUGGGUGAAGAAGGCAUUCGGGUUGUAAAGCCCUUUUGUUGGGAAAGAAAAGCAGCAGGUUAAUACCCCGCUGUUCUGACGGUACCCAAAGAAUAAGCACCGGCUAACUUCGUG
This 492-nucleotide ribosomal RNA is filed under the name uncultured bacterium. RNAcentral describes it as "partial 16S ribosomal RNA". It matches the Rfam family "Bacterial small subunit ribosomal RNA", at positions 29 to 507 of the family's 1533-position model. The record is from RNAcentral.